RNAcentral lists this small RNA (29 nucleotides) under Bombyx mori (domestic silkworm). RNAcentral describes it as "ovarian small RNA-36995". Lineage: Eukaryota; Metazoa; Arthropoda; Insecta; Lepidoptera; Bombycidae. The record is from RNAcentral.
UUCACCAGGUUCACCACGCAGAGCACCCC